Molecule: long non-coding RNA, 626 nt
Filed under: Dromaius novaehollandiae (emu)
Lineage: Eukaryota; Metazoa; Chordata; Aves; Casuariiformes; Dromaiidae
Description: lncRNA (ENSDNVG00000019220.1)
Source: RNAcentral
GCCCGUGGGCACUGAGGGGUCCCCCAGCAGGACCUGGCCCAACUGCCUGCCCUGCCCAGGGAGGGUCUUCACAGGAUCUGGGGUGGCACUGAGGAAGCAGAGGGGGAAAGAGCCCCUGGCGCUCUCCCUGCUUCCUCCCGGAUUAGACGCAACGCAAGAAGCCACCUCCGAGUUCAUGCAUAAAAGAUCAAUGGAAAUGAUUGCUCAAUAGGGUUUGGAUCAUGCUGUUGUUGUGGGACUUCAGAUGUAAAAGGAACGAAAGUAAAGCUCUUCAGCGAGGUGUGGAUGAGCUGCUGUGCGCAGACCUGGUGUCACAAUCCCCUGCCCAAGAUCCACCAGCAGAAGGUGCAAUCGGAGGUCUGGAGCUGUGUAUGGAGAAGGAACGUCGGCACUGCUGAACCGGACGGCCGAGAGCAGCCCCGGCCCUGCAGCCUGAAGCUCCGACCUUGCACCUUCCGCGGGCGAAGGCGGGUGGAGAGGGGCGACGAGCGCGGAGGCAGCAUCAGCUGCGCUGGCCGGCGCAUCCCGUCGUCCCCGCGGAGGAAGGGUGCUGCCGUGCGCGGCGUGUCCGGUGGGUACCACGCGUCCUUGCUCCGGGUUUCCAUCAGCGUCCCGGGGACCUGUAC